This 76-nucleotide transfer RNA is filed under the name Cirroctopus glacialis. RNAcentral describes it as "tRNA-Leu". The record is from RNAcentral. Lineage: Eukaryota; Metazoa; Mollusca; Cephalopoda; Octopoda; Opisthoteuthidae.
AUUAAGAUGGCAGAUCAGUGCAAAGAAUUUAAGAUUCUUUUAGAGAAAAAUAAUAAAUAAGGUUUUCUUCUUAAUA